This 462-nucleotide ribosomal RNA is filed under the name Streptococcus mitis. RNAcentral's name for it is "bacterial SSU rRNA". It matches the Rfam family "Bacterial small subunit ribosomal RNA", at positions 28 to 475 of the family's 1533-position model. Lineage: Bacteria; Bacillati; Bacillota; Bacilli; Lactobacillales; Streptococcaceae. The record is from RNAcentral.
GACGAACGCUGGCGGCGUGCCUAAUACAUGCAAGUAGAACGCUGAAGGAGGAGCUUGCUUCUCUGGAUGAGUUGCGAACGGGUGAGUAACGCGUAGGUAACCUGCCUGGUAGCGGGGGAUAACUAUUGGAAACGAUAGCUAAUACCGCAUAAGAGUAGAUGUUGCAUGACAUUUGCUUAAAAGGUGCAAUUGCAUCACUACCAGAUGGACCUGCGUUGUAUUAGCUAGUUGGUGGGGUAACGGCUCACCAAGGCGACGAUACAUAGCCGACCUGAGAGGGUGAUCGGCCACACUGGGACUGAGACACGGCCCAGACUCCUACGGGAGGCAGCAGUAGGGAAUCUUCGGCAAUGGACGGAAGUCUGACCGAGCAACGCCGCGUGAGUGAAGAAGGUUUUCGGAUCGUAAAGCUCUGUUGUAAGAGAAAGAAACGAGUGUGAGAGUGGAAAAGUUCCACCACUG